This 515-nucleotide ribosomal RNA is filed under the name uncultured bacterium. RNAcentral's name for it is "bacterial SSU rRNA". It matches the Rfam family "Bacterial small subunit ribosomal RNA", at positions 91 to 602 of the family's 1533-position model. The record is from RNAcentral.
GAGAGUGUCAAAACGGGUGAGUAAUACAUCCUCUCGUGCCCAGUCGUGGGGGAUAACGUAGCGAAACUACGCUAAUACCGCAUACGACCCGAGGGUGAAAGCGGGGGGACUCGCAAGAGCCUCGCGCGAUUGGAGCGGCCGAUGGCAGAUUAGGUAGUUGGUGGGGUAAAGGCCCACCAAGCCUGCUGAUCUGUAGCUGGUCUGAGAGGCGACCAGCCACACUGGGACUGAGACACGGCCCAGACUCUACGGGAUCAGGCAGUGGGGAAUUAAGACAAUGGGCGAAAGCCUGAUCCAGCCAUACGCGUGCGGGAAGAAGGCUUCGGGUUGUAAACCGUACAUUGUCAGGGAAGAAAUACUCCGGUUUAAUACCCUGGGGUGAUGACGGUACCUGAAGAAUAAGCACCGGCUAACUACGUGCCAGCAGCCGCGGUAAUACGUAGGGUUCGAGCGUUAAUCGGAAUUACUGGGCGUUACCGGCGUGCGCAGGCGGUUCUAAAACAGAUGUGAAAUCC